Bacillus sp. FJAT-18017 is the source of this 133-nucleotide regulatory RNA element. It matches the Rfam family "Ribosomal protein L20 leader". From Rfam's summary of the family: This family is a putative r-protein leader autoregulatory structure found in B. subtilis and other low-GC Gram-positive bacteria. It is located in the 5' untranslated regions of mRNAs encoding initiation factor 3 followed by ribosomal proteins L35 and L20 (infC-rpmI-rplT). The record is from Rfam. NCBI's taxonomy places the organism in Bacteria, Bacillati, Bacillota, Bacilli, Caryophanales, Bacillaceae.
GUUGGGAAGAAGAAGCACCCGCUUCUCACCUAGCUGACGCACUCGGCUGUUGGCAGGUUUUACGUUAUGGUUUGGUUCAAACCUUAUUUAUGUACGUAAGUGUGGGUGUAUACAUCCGCACUUUUUUUAUUGU